RNAcentral lists this microRNA precursor (80 nucleotides) under Sus scrofa (pig). Its description in RNAcentral is "mir-544 microRNA precursor family". It matches the Rfam family "mir-544 microRNA precursor family". The record is from Rfam by way of RNAcentral. Lineage: Eukaryota; Metazoa; Chordata; Mammalia; Artiodactyla; Suidae.
AUCACCUAGGAGUUGUGUUAAAAUGCAGAUUCUGAUUCAGUGAGGUUCUGCAUUUCUAGCAAGUUCCCACGUGAUGCUGG